Molecule: long non-coding RNA, 412 nt
Filed under: Rhinopithecus bieti (black snub-nosed monkey)
Lineage: Eukaryota; Metazoa; Chordata; Mammalia; Primates; Cercopithecidae
Description: lncRNA (ENSRBIG00000045434.1)
Source: RNAcentral
UAUAUAUAUAUUCCUAGCCCUCAACACCUGAGACGUGAUUUUUUUAUUACCAUUCUCUCCAUGCAAGGAUGCAAGUUCCAUGAGGUCACUAAGUGAUUAUUGGCUCCCCAGAGUCUAGAAGUCUAGCACAGUAGACCAUCAAAUUAAAUGAAUGAAGGAAGGAAGAAAGGAAUCAUCUCCUUCUCUUAGAAGGCUUUUCUGCCCUCUGCCUCUCCUCAUUUAUCCAAGAUACUUCAACAACAGAGGAAAGCAGUUCAACGGUGUGACAAAGGGAGAGAUUUAUCUAAGAGUGUUGUGCAGACCUAGCCUGAACCUUACAAAGUCUCUGCCAGGACACCAUGGAGGGGGAAAAGGAUCUGGAAUAUCAGUGCAUGUUAAUUAUCUUGGAGGAGGGGUUGAACCCAAAUUUGGU